AUUGAACGCUGGCGACAGGCUUAACACAUGCAAGUCGAGCGGAGAGAGGUAGCUUGCUACUGAUCUUAGCGGCGGACGGGUGAGUAAUGCUUAGGAAUCUGCCUAUUAGUGGGGGACAACAUUUCGAAAGGAAUGCUAAUACCGCAUACGUCCUACGGGAGAAAGCAGGGGAUCUUCGGACCUUGCGCUAAUAGAUGAGCCUAAGUCGGAUUAGCUAGUUGGUGGGGUAAGGCCUACCAAGGCGACGAUCUGUAGCGGGUCUGAGAGGAUGAUCCGCCACACUGGGACUGAGACACGGCCCAGACUCCGACGGGAGGCAGCAGUGGGGAAUAUUGGACAAUGGGCGGAAGCCUGAUCCAGCCAUGCCGCGUGUGUGAAGAAGGCCUUAUGGUUGUAAAGCACUUUAAGCGAGGAGGAGGCUACUUUAGUUAAUACCUAGAGAUAGUGGACGUUACUCGCAGAAUAAGCACCGGCUAACUCUGUGCCAGCCGCCGCUGUAA
Molecule: ribosomal RNA, 500 nt
Filed under: uncultured bacterium
Lineage: Bacteria
Description: partial 16S ribosomal RNA
Rfam family: Bacterial small subunit ribosomal RNA
Source: RNAcentral